UUCGGUGGCUAUUGCGUAAAGGUACCACCCGAUCCCAUUCCGAACUCGGCCGUGAAACUUUACUGCGCCAAUGGUACUUCAGCUUAAGCUGCGGAAGAGUAGGUCACUGCCGAAC
This 115-nucleotide ribosomal RNA is filed under the name Alphaproteobacteria bacterium. The record is from RNAcentral. Lineage: Bacteria; Pseudomonadati; Pseudomonadota; Alphaproteobacteria.